This 952-nucleotide ribosomal RNA is filed under the name Lycoperdon sp. Its description in RNAcentral is "partial large subunit ribosomal RNA". It matches the Rfam family "Eukaryotic large subunit ribosomal RNA", at positions 31 to 970 of the family's 3401-position model. The record is from RNAcentral. Lineage: Eukaryota; Fungi; Basidiomycota; Agaricomycetes; Agaricales; Lycoperdaceae.
GACUUAAGCAUAUCAAUAAGCGGAGGAAAAGAAACUAACAAGGAUUCCCCUAGUAACUGCGAGUGAAGCGGGAAAAGCUCAAAUUUAAAAUCUGGCGGUCCCUGGCCGUCCGAGUUGUAAUCUAGAGAAGUGAUGCCCGCGCUGGACCGUGUACAAGUCUCCUGGAAUGGAGCGUCAUAGAGGGUGAGAAUCCCGUCUCUGACACGGACUACCAGGGCUUUGUGGUACGCUCUCAAAGAGUCGAGUUGUUUGGGAAUGCAGCUCUAAAUGGGUGGUAAAUUCCAUCUAAAGCUAAAUAUUGGCGAGAGACCGAUAGCGAACAAGUACCGUGAGGGAAAGAUGAAAAGAACUUUGGAAAGAGAGUUAAACAGUACGUGAAAUUGCUGAAAGGGAAACGCUUGAAGUCAGUCGCGUUGACCAGGACUCAGCCUCGCUCUUGCGUGGUGUACUUUCUGGUUGACGGGUCAGCAUCAAUUUUGACUGCUGGAAAAAGGCUUAGGGAAUGUGGCAGCUUCGGCUGUGUUAUAGCCCUUGGUCACAUACAGCGGUUGGGAUUGAGGAACUCAGCACGCCGCAAGGCCGGGUUUCGACCACGUUCGUGCUUAGGAUGCUGGCAUAAUGGCUUUAAGCGACCCGUCUUGAAACACGGACCAAGGAGUCUAACAUGCCUGCGAGUGUUUGGGUGGUAAACCCGAGCGCGUAAUGAAAGUGAAAGUUGAGAUCCCUGUCGUGGGGAGCAUCGACGCCCGGACCUGAACUUUUGUGACGGAUCCGCGGUAGAGCAUGUAUGUUGGGACCCGAAAGAUGGUGAACUAUGCCUGAAUAGGGUGAAGCCAGAGGAAACUCUGGUGGAGGCUCGUAGCGAUUCUGACGUGCAAAUCGAUCGUCAAAUUUGGGUAUAGGGGCGAAAGACUAAUCGAACCAUCUAGUAGCUGGGUUCUGCCGAGUCUUC